This 253-nucleotide ribosomal RNA is filed under the name uncultured bacterium. Its description in RNAcentral is "partial 16S ribosomal RNA". It matches the Rfam family "Bacterial small subunit ribosomal RNA", at positions 524 to 776 of the family's 1533-position model. The record is from RNAcentral.
UACGGAGGGUGCAAGCGUUAUCCGGCUUUACUGGGUCUACAGGGUGCGUAGGCGGAUUUGUAAGUCCGAGGUGAAAUCUCCGAGCUUACCUCGGAAACUGCCUUGGAUACUAUAAGUCUUGAAUGACGUUGAGGUUAGCGGAAUAUGUCAUGUAGCGGUGAAAUGCUGAGAGAUGACAUAGAACAUCUAUUGCGAAGGCAGCUAACUAAGCGUAUAUUGACGCUGAUGCACGAAAGCGUGGGGAUCAAACAGG